This 250-nucleotide ribosomal RNA is filed under the name uncultured bacterium. Its description in RNAcentral is "partial 16S ribosomal RNA". It matches the Rfam family "Bacterial small subunit ribosomal RNA", at positions 524 to 773 of the family's 1533-position model. The record is from RNAcentral.
UACGUAGGUGGCAAGCGUUGUCCGGAAUUAUUGGGCGUAAAGCGCGCGCAGGCGGUUUCUUAAGUUGGGUGUGAAAGCCCUCGGCUCAACCGAGGAGGGUCACUCAAAACUGGGAGACUGGAGUGCAGAAGAGGAGAGUGGAAUUCCAUGUGUAGCGGUGAAAUGCGUAGAUAUAUGGAGGAACACCAGUGGCGAAGGCGGCUCUCUGGUCUGUAACUGACGCUGAGGCGCGAAAGCGUGGGGAGCAAAC